Microtus ochrogaster (prairie vole) is the source of this 663-nucleotide long non-coding RNA. RefSeq lists it as uncharacterized. The record is from RefSeq and is a predicted model, not a curated record. NCBI's taxonomy places the organism in Eukaryota, Metazoa, Chordata, Mammalia, Rodentia, Cricetidae.
UGAGCAAGUGGCCAUGGCUUUUGGCAUCCACAGGUUUCUAAUCUAAAGGAUAAAGAAUGAGCCAACAUCAGCUGCAGGAAGUUAGGCAGACAUGGCGUUUGCUGUUGGAAAUCUGAGUUCUGCAAUCAGAGAUAAAACAUUUGCUGAUAACCAUAGAUAGAUUAGCAUCUGUCUGGAGAUUUUGAAGUCCUAUGGAUAGAGAUGGGAAAACACCGGACCGUUUGGUUUGCUAGAAGUUUCUUAUCUUAGAGACAGGGCAAGCCGGUGAAAGAAACCAGACGUUGGUCCAGACGAUGACGUGUAUGACUGAAGCUGAAUUGGGAAAGGGUGCCAGGGCCUGGCUAGCGGUCGGCGACACGGCUGAAGAAAACUGUAACAUCAUUAUUCUCAAAGGGUUUAUUUAGUACAUGGUAAGUGAGGUGUGACCCUCCUCUGUGGAAAACACGGACUGGAAACUUACUAAGUUGUCAGCACAGGAUAAAUGAAAUUGAGUGAUACAUUAAUAAAUUAUGUAUAUAACACUUCCAAUAGAGACAUUCCAAUUCACCUUUGUUAUAUACAUAAAUUUUCUCAGGGUUUAUGAGAUAAAAUUUGAUGUGUCACUAACCCCUGCUGAUAUCAAUCUUUCCAAGAUUUUUCCUCUCAGUUGAUAAGACAUUAACA